GUUAGUUCAAAACAUCAUAUUGCCUCACAAAAGCAAAAAUAUAAAAUUUUUUAAAAAUAGCGGUUCUAUAUUUAGAACAUGAACCUGAGGGAAAUUCCAUAAGUUUAACUGAACGUGUUACCCUAAGCUUUUUAUGUAGCCCUUUUUGGUGUGCAUCCUUAUAAUAGUGUUUCCAUCCUAUCGACUGCGUGAGAGAGAGACAGUGAACUGCGGCCUUAUAACAGUGUAAUUGCAACAAUUAAUUUGACAAGAACUUUGUGCUUUUAGUAUAUUCAGGAUUUAUGGAAAGUUUUUGGCAAAACUUGACAUGUGAGGGCUUCGAGGGGGUGUGAAUUUUCCGGCCCUUUAUCAUGCAACAUUUAUCUCGACUUCCAAUAUCAUUGCAACAAAUCUUUAGCAACAUGUGAAGGCGCGGCCGGGGAUGCAUGCGUACUCUUGAUUAUCAUGGUUUGAGGGAUUGAAAAUCAUCAUAUAGCCUAGCAAGUCCAUUUGUGCUCUUAAAUAAUAGAUUUGGAGUCUUGAAAAGGAUCCGAAUCUGUCAAAUUUUCAAGAGUUGAAAUAGAUAGUCCACAC
This 573-nucleotide long non-coding RNA is filed under the name Amborella trichopoda. RNAcentral describes it as "long non-coding RNA (ATRI_LNC000467)". Lineage: Eukaryota; Viridiplantae; Streptophyta; Magnoliopsida; Amborellales; Amborellaceae. The record is from RNAcentral.